GGACUCAAAAGAUUUUAAAAACUCAGUCAUCAUCUUUCUAGUAGUGCAAACCAAAUCAUAGACAUCCUAACUUUAGAAGCACAUUAUACAAUAUCCUAGUAUAGCAACCAAAUUCACCUAGUCAACAACUUAACAGAUCCUGUCUGACAAUCCCCUCUACUAACCUCAUUUCUUGCAUAAAAUAAAAGUGCAGGCUUUACCUUGGGAGUAUCGAUCAAGGAACACAUGGACUCAACUCAAGCAAGUAGGUAGUUUCAUCUGAUUCCUUUCUUCUCCCUACUCUCUUCUCUGAAUAUCUUUAUUAGUUUCAAUCCCAAUGAAUUUCGAUGUUGAUUAGACAUCUAGUUCAUCUUAUUGACAUGAUGCUCUUUUCCUUUUUUUUCUUUUUUUUCUUUUGACAAAGUGUAGCGAAUAAUAGGGUCAUAGGAGAUACUCAUACCCAUCGUUUCUACAAUGUGUGAUCAUUCCCUUCAGACUUAGAAUAAUGGGGUCACAGGAGACACUCUUACCCCUCUGCCUCUUCCAGGAAAUCAUCUCAAUCCUUUCUUUAUAAUUUUGAUCUUUGAGAUGCCGAAGAGAGAGAAGGAAGGGAACCAUCAACACAUAUGAGCGUUUACCUUUCAGACUUGCAGGAGGAUUCCGAUCCCUUGUAUACCAAGCCCCAAGACAAGCAAAUCAAGUCAAAUUAGGUUGGAGGUCAGCUUUGGUUCCUUCAAACACUCUCAGCAAGUGCAAACAUAGUGACAGUUUGAUCCACUUUAGUAUCUCUACUACUGGUCUAAAGAGUGGUUUAGAUGACAAGUAAUAAAUCGAAUUAGAUCAUCACCCUCUUCUUGACUCAAUAAAAACAAAUUUUGAAAAUAUUUUAAAUAAGACUCAUAAAGGUAGAUAAACGUUAGUAAUCCCCCUAGACUUAAAUUACGCUGUCCCCAGUGUAACACAGUCGGUGGUAAGGUGAAAAUCAUAAAGCAGAAGUACAAAAUUUAACAAGUAAGAACGAUAUCAUGCUCAGUAUCGAUCGAUACAAUGAAGUGACUAUCGAUCGUUGUUGAUGAAGUGUUGUUGAUCGAUAUCGAGAUGGUCACAUCGGUCGAUGAUCUUAGCAAUCGUCUACAUGGAUCUGUGUUUUUUUUUUUUUUUUAACUAAAACACAAUAUCAGUAGAACUUCCCCCAGACUUAGAUAACGCUGUGACCAGUGUAUAUCCAGUCGGAGUUAUGGUGUAAAUAAAUCAUAAGUAAUCAAUUUAACAAGUUAGAAUGAUAUAUUUGACCGGAAUGGAUGUCGAUCGAUGUAAACGUGUUGUCAUCGGUCGUGGAAGAUGUAGCAAUGUCGAUCGAUAUCGACUGUUCUCGUCGGUCGAUAUCAUGGCAAUCGUUUACUUGGGUCCCUAUUCUAAACAGCUAACUGACGUUGAUAUGAAUGUUGACCAACACAGUUAAGUGGCGAUCGAUACUCGUGAUAAUCUAUCAAUCAACACAAUUAAGUGGCAAUCGAUCGAUGCUAGUAAUGCUCUGUCGAUCGAUGUUAGCUAGCCAUUGUCGAUUUCUAUGGAAACUCGUCUUCCUCGGAUCUUUUCAUUGUACCUAACAUAAAUAAAACAGUAAAAGUCUAAAAGUUAGUAAUAUUUAACUAAUAAAACCAAUAAAUUUUUUUUUUUUAACCUGAAAUCAUUAGAAAACAAGAAAAAUCAGUAAUAAAUGAAAAUUAAACCAUAUUUAAAACAAACCUAACAGUGGGUUGCCUCCCACUCAGCGCUUAUUUUUAGUCAUUA
RNAcentral lists this long non-coding RNA (1773 nucleotides) under Brassica rapa (field mustard). RNAcentral's name for it is "long non-coding RNA (BRAP_LNC001258)". The record is from RNAcentral. Lineage: Eukaryota; Viridiplantae; Streptophyta; Magnoliopsida; Brassicales; Brassicaceae.